This 504-nucleotide ribosomal RNA is filed under the name uncultured bacterium. RNAcentral describes it as "bacterial SSU rRNA". It matches the Rfam family "Bacterial small subunit ribosomal RNA", at positions 1 to 526 of the family's 1533-position model. The record is from RNAcentral.
AGUAAGAGUUUGAUCAUGGCUCAGAUUGAACGCUGGCGGCGUGCUUAACACAUGCAAGUCGAGCGGUAACAGGCGUAGCAAUACGUGCUGACGAGCGGCGAACGGGUGCGUAAUACAUGGGAAUCUGCCCUUUAGUGGGGAAUAACCCGGCGAAAGCCGGGCUAAUGCCGCAUAAGAUCUUCGGAUGAAAGCGGGGGAUCGUAAGACCUCGCGCUGAUGGAUGAGCCCAUGUCGGAUUAGCUAGUUGGUGAGGUAACGGCUCACCAAGGCGACGAUCCGUAGCUGGUCUGAGAGGACGACCAGUCACACCGGAACUGAGACACGGUCCGGACUCCUACGGGAGGCAGCAGUGGGGAAUAUUGGACAAUGGGCGAAAGCCUGAUCCAGCAAUGCCGCGUGAGUGAGGAAGGCCUUAGGGUUGUAAAGCUCUUUCGCACGCGACGAUGAUGACGGUAGCGUAAGAAGAAGCCCCGGCUAACUUCGUGCCAGCCGCCGCGGUAAUAC